UCAACCUGGUUGAUCCUGCCAGUAGCAUAUGCUUGUCUCAAAGACUAAGCCAUGCAUGUCUCAGUGUAAACACUUGUCUUGUGAAACUGCGAAUGGCUCAUUAUAUCAGUAAUGAUUUCUUUGAUGGUGGCGAAAGCACAUGGAUACCUGUGCGAAACGUAGAGCUAAUACAUGCGCAAGACCCCGCGUGGGAG
Molecule: ribosomal RNA, 194 nt
Filed under: uncultured eukaryote
Lineage: Eukaryota
Description: partial 18S ribosomal RNA
Rfam family: Eukaryotic small subunit ribosomal RNA
Source: RNAcentral